RNAcentral lists this ribosomal RNA (403 nucleotides) under uncultured bacterium. RNAcentral describes it as "bacterial SSU rRNA". It matches the Rfam family "Bacterial small subunit ribosomal RNA", at positions 355 to 775 of the family's 1533-position model. The record is from RNAcentral.
UGGGGAAUAUUGGACAAUGGGCGCAAGCCUGAUCCAGCCAUGCCGCGUGAGUGAUGAAGGCCCUAGGGUUGUAAAGCUCUUUCGCACGCGACGAUAAUGACGGUAGCGUGAGAAGAAGCCCCGGCUAACUUCGUGCCAGCAGCCGCGGUAAUACGAAGGGGGCUAGCGUUGCUCGGAAUCACUGGGCGUAAAGGGCGCGUAGGCGGCCAUUCAAGUCAGGGGUGAAAGCCCAAGGCUCAACCUUGGAACUGCCUUUGAUACUGUUUGGCUUGAGACCGGAAGAGGUCGGCGGAACUGCGAGUGUAGAGGUGAAAUUCGUAGAUAUUCGCAAGAACACCAGUGGCGAAGGCGGCCGACUGGUCCGGUGCUGACGCUGAGGCGCGAAAGCUGGGGGAGCAAACGG